RNAcentral lists this ribosomal RNA (406 nucleotides) under uncultured bacterium. RNAcentral's name for it is "partial 16S ribosomal RNA". It matches the Rfam family "Bacterial small subunit ribosomal RNA", at positions 28 to 526 of the family's 1533-position model. The record is from RNAcentral.
GAUGAACGCUAGCUACAGGCUUAACACAUGCAAGUCGAGGGACCGGCGCACGUGUUAUUAACACGUAUCCACCCUGCCCUUUACUCGGGGAUAGCCUUUCGCAAGAAAGACUAUUACCCGAUAUAACGGAUGUUGUUUCGUUGCAUUAGUUUGUUGGUGAGGUAACGGCCCACCAAGCCUUCGAUGGUUAGGGGUUCUGAUAGGAAGUGCCCCGACUUGGGAAAUGAGAAACGGUCCAAAAUCUUACGGGAGGCAGAAGUGAGGAAUAUUGGUAAAUGGGCGUUAGCCUGAACCAGCCAAGUAGCGUGAAGGAUGAAGGCUUAUGGGUCGUAAACUUCUUUUAUAUAAGAAUAUGUAUUAUAUGAAUAAGGAUAGGCUAACUCCGUGCCAGCAGCCGCGGUAAUAC